GGGGGCCCGCAAGCGGCGGAGCAUGCGGAUUAAUUCGAUGCAACGCGAAGAACCUUACCAAGGCUUGACAUUCACCGGACCGCCCCAGAGAUGGGGUUUCCCUUCGGGGCUGGUGGACAGGUGGUGCAUGGUUGUCGUCAGCUCGUGUCGUGAGAUGUUGGGUUAAGUCCCGCAACGAGCGCAACCCUCGUUCUAUGUUGCCAGCACGUGAUGGUGGGGACUCAUAGGAGACUGCCGGGGUCAACUCGGAGGAAGGUGGGGAUGACGUCAAAUCAUCAUGCCCCUUAUGUCUUGGGCUUCACGCAUGCUACAAUGGCCGGUACAAAGGGUUGCGAUACUGUGAGGUGGAGCUAAUCCCAAAAAGCCGGUCUCAGUUCGGAUUGAGGUCUGCAACUCGACCUCAUGAAGUCGGAGUCGCUAGUAAUCGCAGAUCAGCAACGCUGCGGUGAAUACGUUCCCGGGCCUUGUACACACC
This 475-nucleotide ribosomal RNA is filed under the name uncultured bacterium. RNAcentral describes it as "bacterial SSU rRNA". It matches the Rfam family "Bacterial small subunit ribosomal RNA", at positions 915 to 1391 of the family's 1533-position model. The record is from RNAcentral.